This 2489-nucleotide unclassified non-coding RNA is filed under the name Hevea brasiliensis (rubber tree). The record is from RNAcentral. Lineage: Eukaryota; Viridiplantae; Streptophyta; Magnoliopsida; Malpighiales; Euphorbiaceae.
UUUUUCUAAAAAAAAAUAAAAUUCAUAUAUUUUCUAAGUUAUUUUCUUCUGGAGCUUAAAACUACAAACGUUGUUGUUUCUACUGGUUAUUGAACAAAUUGGUGCAAUAGUAAAAUUAAAUAUAUACAUCAUAAAGAAACGCCGAAACGCAACUAUAACUAUCGCUUUCUCCGAUGACCGGAAACCAAUGGAGACAAAACGGAGUUGGGGGAGGAGACUGCCGAACACACGACUGAGUUCAGGGGUGUGUUAGAAAUCUACCAAAUGACGACUCCACAGCGUCAUAAACCAUAAUCAGAAAAUGAAAUUUUGCCACAUCUCAUCCAAGCUACUGACUUCUUAUAGUCCUUCCCAAUCGACAGAGCUCAGGCUCCUCCAACAACAUAUCUUGUAGCGGUUUCACGUUUGUCUGGCUUUCCUCACAACUGUAGAUAAAAUCAAGGCAAAGCAGCCUGUGAUGAACAGCAUAAUCACUGCCAACAUAAGUCACAAUUAAGCUACCUGCAUCAGGGUGAGGCCAGCUCCUUGAAGUUGGAAACCGCAAUAUAAAAGUUCCAGGCUCUUGAAGGCCUCUAGGGCCUUCAAGUGAUAAUUCUGCUUCUUCCUCUGUAAUAAAUCCUUCGAUCCAUUUGGGAAAUGUAGAUUUCCACAUUGUGUUUAUCCAAUCUCUGGAAAGUGCAAAAGCAACAGGGUACAACCAACACCACAUCUUUUCAAAGUUUUCUUGGGCAAUGUAGUCCCGGCAUCCAGCAAUUCUCCUCAAAAGCUCAAAGUCCUGCUCCGUGAGUGAUCUGCUACUGCAGCAAGCAAUCUUCAUGAAUUGCUCUUCAAUCUCAAAAACUACAUUUUCCCAAUGAACAGCAUGGUUGUUUUGUGCAAUUGAAUUCCAAACUCUGGUUCCUUCCAUUAUCAAUCUCUUUGCAAUCGUUAUUUGACGCUUGUGGUGGGAACAUCCUGAGUAUAGGGAAACCUCAUGUGCAAAUCUCAAAAGAUCUUCUUCAGAGGCAGAGAUUGCAACCUCUUUCAACAGAAGAGCUCUAUCAGUCAAGCCUCCCAGGCAGUAUUUAAAGAUAGUCAAGUCCGAAAUUGAAUAACCACUGCUUGACAUGACCUUGAAAUCUGAAUCUCUUUCCUCGUUACUCUCUGAAUCAAAUGUUGAGUUGCCUAUUUCUUCAGGGUUUUCUGAACUACCCUCAAACUUUGACCUUAGUGCAUUUUCAACCUGAUUAGCAGUCCAAGCAUGAGAAUUGCAUUCCUCAUCCUGUCGUUCCACUGCAAAUGUAUUUUCCUGACCCAAUUUGACCCGCUUUGAUGAUGGACUAGGUUUUAUUUCAUGGACAGAAUUGUGCUUAAAUUCUGUUGACCCAUUGAGAGAAUAACUGGCAGAGGUUGGUCUUUUCCAUGUAAGAGAGGAUGGUCGAGGGUUACGACUCCGAGAGAUGCAACGAAUUGGACGAGAAAAUGUCCGAAGGAAAUGGUACCCCCCAAAUUCAGGCAUUUCAAAUUUAAUACAGAAUAGCCUAUUAUCGCACUUGGAUGAGAGCUGAGAUAUUUUGAGCUUAAAGGAGGCACGGCCAUGCAAAAGUUUACUCUGUUGAUCAGAAGCAGCAAAUUCAAUCCCAUCAUAGCUUAUUAAUAGGGGAGCUUCAUCAUCAGAUGUCUUCUCAACAGGUAAGCCGUUGUCAGCAUAUAAAAGUGAAGCAACAACCUCCACUUCCUUGUCUAUAGCCUGGCUAAUUGCAUUUGAUAAAACAACAUCUAAAGAAAAAAUCCUGCGACAAGAAGCCUUGCCACCAACAAUACUCCAAAUCCCAUCAAUUCCUUCUUCAAUAUCAGAUGUAGAUGAGUCAUCAAUGGAUAAUUGUAAAGGCGGGUCCUUAAAAUAGUGAUCCUUAAUAGACAAACUUAAAGUCAAGACUUCUGCAUUGUAGACAUAACCCUGCAAACCAUCAUCUCCACUAGCACCGACUAAGGUUAUCUUCCUGAAGCCAUUUGAAAUAGAGUCUUUGUUGAAUGAAGAAGAGAGAGAACAUUCUCCUACAAUUUCCCCAUUAAUGUGAAGUCGAAAUACAUCAGUAAAAACCCCACAUCCAACAUGAACCCAAUUUUCCAGAGGAAACUCAUUCUUCAUUGAUGCAUGUGAAGUUUCUGUCAAUAAAGUAGAACUAGUAGGAUCAGGAGCUUCCUUGCAUAGGAGAGACAAUGGUAAAAGCGUCAUUGACUUAUUUUCAUCUAGAGCAAUAAAAGGAGCACUGCUGGUGAUAUCUGAAUAAACCUGACUAAUGAUUGUAGCAGGAAAUGCAGUAGUGGAGUCAAUGAUGUAAACCCAGAAAGAGAAAGAGAAAUUCCCUCCUUUUAAUUCAAUCUCCAUUCUAAAAUCCUUAAGCAAAGUGUAAUCUUUAGUGCUUAUCGCAUUACCACCCAUAGUUCCUAUUUGGGAUUCUUGAUCACAAAGAAACAAAUCCAAUAACAAAAAAAACUAAAUUUUU